GCUGGGAUCAGCCAGCUGAGAUGGGUUGGCAUCUUCAAGGAUGCCUCCUAGGUGGAUCCAUUCAGAGAUUCUUUCGGCAUGCCCAACUGGGAGGAGAUCCUGGAGUAUACCCAGAACCUGGUGUAGAGGUAUAUCUGUUCUGGACUGGGAUUACCUCAGAAUCCACUAACAAGAACCGUACGUGUAAACAAGAAGGUGAAUGAGGGAAAUGAGGUUCCAGCGUUCAGCCACGUGUGAAUAGAUUCCUCAUUCUUCAUCCCCGAACAAGUGCCGCGCUACAACAACAGCGAGACGACGAGCGGACAUGCAGCCAUGAUACCAUCCCUGCUGAGGCGUUCGGAUCGGCAUGUGGAUUAUGAACUGAGUCUAAGGAGGAGCCGAGAUGCUGCGAAGAUCCCCAAAUGUCAAUCACCUGUCCUUCCCUGCUGUGCAUAGAUAUGACCUUGGUACUCUGCCUGUGAUUUGCAGUCCGGACGAUGCAGCAGCAUAACAUCUGUUUACGUUAGCAAUGUCAAAGAGUGUUGACCAAGGCGUGGGAACGCAAGGCGAUGCAUGCGGGACCCCCACGCGCUCACAGGGAGGUACGAGUGCAGUGAGAGCCUGAAUCUUGGGGGAAGCACGUACAGGCAAACCACACACAUUCUGCAGAUAAACACGCAGAUGCACACGUUCAGGCUCCUCCCUGCAGGCAGGCGGCCAUCAGAGCAACGCAGUGCUUGUCAUCUCAGCGUUUCAUCAGGCCAAGCUGCUGCCCUUGGGAAAUAUGGCUUUUUUCUUAAGCAGCCACUCUAUAUGAGCAAGCAGCUAAAGGACUUCAGUAACCAAUUUGUUGUCACUGACUAUUUAGUAACUGGUU
This is a long non-coding RNA of Oreochromis aureus, 856 nucleotides long. RefSeq lists it as uncharacterized. Lineage: Eukaryota; Metazoa; Chordata; Actinopteri; Cichliformes; Cichlidae. The transcript has 5 exons. The record is from RefSeq and is a predicted model, not a curated record.